UACGUAGGAUGCGAGCGUUGUCCGGAUUCACUGGGUGUAAAGGGAGCGCAGGCGGGUCGGUAAGUCAUUGGUGAAAUUUUCGGGCUCAACCCGAAGACUGCCACUGAUACUGCCGAUCUUGAGUGUGGAAGAGGUUGGUGGAAUUCAUGGUGUAGCGGUGAAAUGCGUAGAUAUCAUGAAGAACACCGAUGGCGAAGGCAGCCAACUGGUCCAUUACUGACGCUCAUGCUCGAAAGCGUGGGGAUCAAACAGG
This 253-nucleotide ribosomal RNA is filed under the name uncultured bacterium. RNAcentral's name for it is "partial 16S ribosomal RNA". It matches the Rfam family "Bacterial small subunit ribosomal RNA", at positions 524 to 776 of the family's 1533-position model. The record is from RNAcentral.